GUAGGAUGCUCGAAACUGAAUAAAUCGGUGAUUUACCAAAGAUUAAUUUAUAAAUCAGAUAACAACAAGAAAAAGUAAUUGUACUGUAGGUCUUUGACAAGAAGAUAAAACUAACCAGAGAUUUAUCAAAUAGAUGCAGAGAUUGCAGUUGCAGAAACCAAGCAUUAACAAGUGUUUCGACAAUGAAGGGUCAUUUAUGAAAUUGGUCGGAACUUAGCGAAUAAGCCAUCCAACAACCACUGUUUCCAAGGGACACAAAUGAACUCCGUUCAUGAGUUGGUUGUAAAACGCCUUCAGAAAAUCUUUCGAAUAGUCAUAUCCAAUCGACCAGUAUAAAACAUAAUAAUAAUAAUAAUAAUAGUAAAAGAAAGAAACAUAAAACACCAUACCAAUUCAUUGGUGAAGUCCAUAUACAACAUAGGUCCAACAACAUUGACAGCAAGUAUAAAUCUGCACGAACCUGAACUCCAGAAUAUAGCCCAAACCCCGUAGAACACCCCAACAAGUACCAGCUGACUAGCAAGAUAUAUGAGAGUUUUGUACUACAAAAAAUAUAUCAAUCUACUUUGUUAUCGAGAGAAUGACGUAUUAGAUAAAUGAAAGAAGUAGAGACCCUCAUGCGCAUGGGGCCCGAAGUGUAUAUGAUAAAGAUGAGAACAUAGCUAGCAGUGACUGACAAAGUAAUCCACCCAAGGACGAUUACUAGCGUCCUUUCUUCAUCAAAGAUAUCAAAUAUAAGUUCGAUGGCAGCGACCAAGAAAGAGAGCAAGUACAUUUCAAGGCUAUAUAGGCCAACAUUUUUACGAGUAAUACGAAACAUGAUUCUCCUAGGAUUAAAUAAGUUAAACAAAGUUAGUUUGAUCAGUAAUAAUUGCCUGAAUGAACUCAACACAGAAAAUUAAAAUUGCUUACAUUGACGGGACAAGGAGAACAAGUGACAAAAUAAAACCUGACACAAAUUAUAGGGAACAGUUAGGGGGCAGGACAAGGAAAAAAUGGAAGUAUUCAAGGAAUUGGUAAGUACCCUAAAAAAGAUAGGCCAAAGCAUCCUCAUUCUCAUUUGCCAUUUUCUGGGAGGUAAAGAUUAGCCUAAAAAGAGAUGAUCGAUCAAUAGCGAAUUAGACGAUCACGAUAACAAAGAAUCAUUCACCAUCACUCACAACGAUCUAUAAUAUCAUGGUCAUAGAUAAUCAUUCAGCAUCCAUCGCAACAAGAACUCAGUAUCAUUAACAGAAGAGUUCAUUGAAAAGUAUGCAUCUACGAAAUUAGAAGAUAUUGAUCAUGACAUCAUUAACAACAAGAACUUAGUAUCACAGCAAGAAUUUAGUAUCAUUAAUAGCAAGAACUUAAUAUCAUUAACAGAAGAGUUAAUAGAAAAGCAUACAUCUACGAAAUUAGACGAUAGGAUCAUCAAGAAAAAAGCAAAUCAUCAAAUAUCACCAAGCAAUGAACAAGAUCAUUACAAAUUCUGCCGAAAGAACUAAAAUAGUAAAAGAUCAUGUAGCACAGAAGAAGUUCAAUCAGUUACAUCCAGCUAUGAAACCCUAGUUCCUAAAGGGAAGGAAAUUCGCACUACAUUCGAUAUCAAUAACAGAGAAAUUGAAGCUAAAUAAACAAGAUAAUCGCUAAAAUCGAUUUAAAAAAGGAAACAGAUUGAGCAAAAAAUUUGACUUACAGCGAUGCUAUUUUGCCCUAGAAUUUGGGGAUUCUUGAGGGCAAAAUGAGAGCUUGGGCGUGAAAUAGAAUUGCAAGCUCGAUUUCUUCCUUUUAUAGGCGCUAGAAAGAGCGGGCAACGGUUGACGAAUUUCAAAAUAAUCAGGAGAAUGCGAAAACCCCUUUCCGAUAGCACUUGAACAGAGAGCUUUGAUUGGGAUUCCAAAGGACUGCUGCCAGCUGCCAGUCAAUAGCACUUGGCAAGUUUCAAUUCUCGGCGCGUCUCCUGCUUGUUCGCAGUAUUUCGAAAUGGUUCAAGUAUCCCCUAGCACUUACAAUGCUUACAAGUUUUAGUUUGGAAUUUGCUUUUAUAAAAGAGAUUGAUAGCAUGCUCCACAACCUCGAAAAAGAGAUUCAUGAUGUAGAUAUUGAUAAAAUUAGCCACCGGUACAAUUUACCUGGCAGAUUUCGCUCUCCCUUUCAAUAUGCUGUUGGGGAUGUAGUCACACUUGGGGGGAUGUAGUCACACUUGGACCGGGGAGCCUGCUUCUUAUGCUGUUUUGGUGUGGAGACCUCAAAAGGUGGGCCGGGAGAUCUCUUGUGAUAAAAUCGCUUCUAAAGGACUAUGCUAAGCAAAACAUAUCUGAGGUUCGAGGCCAGAUCACCAUGGUUGAUGUUAGUUCAUGUUGAUAUGUCGACACGAAGUGCCGCGUUUAUGGGCUUUGAAACGAGGGAAAGAGAUGUUUAAUGGAUGCUGAACAUUUGCGUUUGUAGGGAAGCAAAGAAGAGUAAAAGUUUGUGGAAUGCCCCACCAGUCUUAUAAACGGUAUAUUAAUUGAUGCUGUGGAGUUUGCAGAUGUUGUCUUGCUGCUGCUAAUCGAUCGAUGGAAGUUACUCUUUUGGAAUGGUGAGCUCUCCUGUAAACGGACUCCACAUUCAUAAGAUGUCUGAAUUCUAUGUGAUGAGGAAGAUACAUAGAAUGAUAUUUCACAGGACCCCUCCUCUUGAAGUUGCUUCUAAUUGUCACGACUUACGAAGUUCUUUGUUUCAAUGGGGGAGAGGCAAUUUAUAUACAUAGGUCUUCUCCUUUGGGAACUUUAAUCUUAACCAUCAUGAUUAACCGUA
Molecule: long non-coding RNA, 2778 nt
Organism: Asparagus officinalis (garden asparagus)
Lineage: Eukaryota; Viridiplantae; Streptophyta; Magnoliopsida; Asparagales; Asparagaceae
Exons: 4
Source: RefSeq, a predicted model, not a curated record